CCUACGGGCGGCAGCAGUGAGGAAUAUUGGUCAAUGGCCGGAAGGCUGAACCAGCCAUGCCGCGUGAAGGUCAGUGCCCUAUGGGCGUUAAACUUCUUCUGUGCGGGAGCAAUAAUGGUCACGUGUGGCCAGACGAGAGUACCGCACGAAUAAGCAUCGGCUAACUCCGUGCCAGCAGCCGCGGUAAUACGGGGGGUGGAAGCGUUAUCCGGGUUUAUGGGGUUUAAAGGGUGCGUAGGCUGUGAGUGAAGUCAGCGGUGAAAUGCCCCCGCUCAACGGGGUGAAGUGCCAUUGAUACUGCCUUGCUGGAAUGCGGAUGCCGUGGGAGGAAUGUGUGGUGUAGCGGUGAAAUGCAUAGAUAUCACACAGAACACCGAUUGCGAAGGCAUCUCACGAAUCCGCGAUUGACGCUGAUGCACGAAAGCGUGGGUAUCAAACAGGAUUAGAUACCCGUGUAGUC
Molecule: ribosomal RNA, 460 nt
Filed under: uncultured bacterium
Lineage: Bacteria
Description: partial 16S ribosomal RNA
Rfam family: Bacterial small subunit ribosomal RNA
Source: RNAcentral